This is a long non-coding RNA of Brachypodium distachyon (stiff brome), 368 nucleotides long. RefSeq lists it as uncharacterized. The record is from RefSeq and is a predicted model, not a curated record. The transcript has 3 exons. Lineage: Eukaryota; Viridiplantae; Streptophyta; Magnoliopsida; Poales; Poaceae.
GUUUUGCCUCACUUGGUGGCACGGCCUGCAUCAUGGCUCCUGUGCCCUGUGGGGAACCGGAGGAGCCAAUUCGUCAAUCGUUCAGCCGAUGUGCAUCAGGUACACAUGGAUGGAACCGAAUCGGGUUGGUGCCUACACGAUAGAUCAAGCAUGUGCGUGGAGAAAACCGAUCGUCAGGAGUUCCACGGAGCCUAUACGAACGCACGGCACGGCACGAGGGUCUUCUCUGCGGCGCUCAAAUAGAGAGAUCGUGGACGAGGAUGGGCGCAAAUUUACUGCACAAGCACAACCAGGAUAGUCCAAACCUUUGGGAAUUGUGAUGGUCACAGGUCCGUUAUUCCCCUAUAAAACAGGCAUAGUUCGAAUAC